GUGAUAGGUUGCCAUUUGAUACUUACAUUCUUUAUAUCACAGCAAUUUGGUGGGAAGCCGCAGCACCAGCAGAAAUGAUGUUAGAGAACUGGUUUACUUAACUAAAUAUCGAAUAAUGUAGUGCUUUCUUUUUGGCAGAAGAUAAUUGGAGAAAAAUAUCAUGCACUGAAUUCAAGACUGUUUAUAGGACGUCCUCGGUGGAAACUUUUGUUUGAUGAAAUAGCAAAAUAUAACAGAGGAAAAACAGUUGGUGUUUUCUGUUGUGGACCCAAUUCACUAUCCAAGACUCUUCAUAAACUGAGUAACCAGAACAACUCAUAUGGGACAAGAUUUGAAUACAAUAAAGAGUCUUUCAGCUGAAAACUUUUGCCAUGAAGCAGGACUCUAAAGAAGGAAUGAGUGCAAUUUCUAAGACUUUGAAACUCAGCGGAAUCAAUCAGCUGUGUUAUGCCAAAGAAUAGUAAGGUUUUCUUAUUUAUGAUUAUUUAAAAUGGAAAUGUGAGAAUGUGGCAAGAUGACCGUCACAUUACAUGUUUAAUCUGGAAACCAAAGAGACCCUGAAGAAUAUUUGAUGUGAUGAUUCACUUUUCAGUUCUCAAAUUAAAAGAAAACUGUUAGAUGCACACUGUUGAUUUUCAUGGUGGAUUCAAGAACUCCCUAGUGAGGAGCUGAACUUGCUCAAUCUAAGGCUGAUUGUCGUGUUCCUCUUUAAAUUGUUUUUGGUUGAACAAAUGCAAGAUUGAACAAAAUUAAAA
This 755-nucleotide long non-coding RNA is filed under the name Homo sapiens (human). RNAcentral describes it as "non-protein coding lnc-GRM5-1:3". The record is from RNAcentral. Lineage: Eukaryota; Metazoa; Chordata; Mammalia; Primates; Hominidae.